AGCGAACGUUAGCGGCGGGCUUAACACAUGCAAGUCGAGCGAGAAAAGGGCUUCGGCCCUUAGUAAAGCGGCGGACGGGUGAGUAACACGUAGGUAAUCUUCCCUUGAGCGGGGGACAACGAGGCGAAAGCCUCGCUAAUACCGCAUACGUUUCUCGGGUCUCUGGACCUGGGAAGGAAAGCUAGGCCGCAAGGUCCGGCACUCGAGGAGGAGCCUGCGUAGCAUCAGCUAGUUGGUGGGGUAAUGGCCUACCAAGGCGAAGACGCUUAGCUGGUCUGAGAGGAUGAUCAGCCACACUGAAACUGAGACACGGUUCAGACUCCUACGGGUGGCUG
This 335-nucleotide ribosomal RNA is filed under the name uncultured Pseudomonadota bacterium. Its description in RNAcentral is "bacterial SSU rRNA". It matches the Rfam family "Bacterial small subunit ribosomal RNA", at positions 29 to 351 of the family's 1533-position model. Lineage: Bacteria; Pseudomonadati; Pseudomonadota. The record is from RNAcentral.